GGGGAAAUUGUGACAAAUCUGGACUUAUAAUUGUUAUUAUUUAACGUAUUAUUUAUUGUAUAUGACAUAUAUUUAUUUGAAUAUUGCCGGGUGGUCAACUUCUCGGGUGUGCACAAACACUGAUAAAUGCAUUGACUUUCAUACUCAUGAUUUAAACUAUUUGUACUUUGCAAGCGAUAAGGGCCAGUUUUAUAUGUAUAUCUUGGUAAUGUUUACCUAUGAAAUACUUUGAUUAUCCGUCAUAUAGUGAUUUAUUUUGACAAAUAUCGUCGUGAGAUUCAACUUGUUUACAUCUGCCAUGACACCGUUCUGUACUUUCACUUUGCGAUCUCAUAUUAUUAUUUGUUUAAGUUAACACUUUAU
RNAcentral lists this long non-coding RNA (363 nucleotides) under Mytilus galloprovincialis (Mediterranean mussel). Lineage: Eukaryota; Metazoa; Mollusca; Bivalvia; Mytilida; Mytilidae. The record is from RNAcentral.